GGACAACAUUUGGAAACGAAUGCUAAUACCGCAUAACAACUUUAAACACAAGUUUUAAGUUUGAAAGAUGCAAUUGCAUCACUCAAAGAUGAUCCCGCGUUGUAUUAGCUAGUUGGUGAGGUAAAGGCUCACCAAGGCGAUGAUACAUAGCCGACCUGAGAGGGUGAUCGGCCACAUUGGGACUGAGACACGGCCCAAACUCCUACGGGAGGCAGCAGUAGGGAAUCUUCGGCAAUGGACGAAAGUCUGACCGAGCAACGCCGCGUGAGUGAAGAAGGUUUUCGGAUCGUAAAACUCUGCUGGUAGAGAAGAACGUUGGUGAGAGUGGAAAGCUCAUCAAGUGACGGUAACUACCCAGAAAGGGACGGCUAACUACGUGCCAGCAGCCGCGGUAAUACGUAGGUCCCGAGCGUUGUCCGGAUUUAUUGGGCGUAAAGCGAGCGCAGGUGGUUUAUUAAGUCUGGUGUAAAAGGCAGUGGCUCAACCAUUGUAUGCAUUGGAAACUGGUAGACUUGAGUGCAGGAGAGGAGAGUGGAAUUCCAUGUGUAGCGGCGAAAAUGCGUAGAUAUAUGGAGGAACACCGGUGGCGAAAGCGGCUCUCUGGCCUGUAACUGACACUGAGGCUCGAAAGCGUGGGGAGCAAACAGGAUUAGAUACCCUGGUAGUCCACGCCGUAAACGAUGAGUGCUAGAUGUAGGGAGCUAUAAGUUCUCUGUAUCGCAGCUAACGCAAU
RNAcentral lists this ribosomal RNA (733 nucleotides) under Lactococcus lactis. RNAcentral describes it as "bacterial SSU rRNA". It matches the Rfam family "Bacterial small subunit ribosomal RNA", at positions 141 to 861 of the family's 1533-position model. The record is from RNAcentral. Lineage: Bacteria; Bacillati; Bacillota; Bacilli; Lactobacillales; Streptococcaceae.